AGGAGGAGGAGGAGGGGUCCCCGCGGCUUUAUCUCCCACCCGGCUCCGCCCGCCGCCGGCUGUCUCCGGUGACCGCAGCGCACCGGCGGGCGCAGCGCGGCCAGGGCAGCGCCCAUGGGCUGCGGCAACUCCACGGCCGGCGGUGCGGGCGGGCGAGGUGCUACAGGGACUACUAAAGAUGUAGCAGAAGAAUCCAUAUCAGAUGAUGACAAAAGGAGGAACUAUGGUGGGGUGUACGUGGGCCUGCCGGCGGACGCGGCUGCCAUGGCUCCCAGUCAGACAAAAGCUGCACCCAAAGAAGGAAAUAAAGACAUCAAGAUGCAAACAGCCCGAGUCUACUGAGACCAGUUGCCAGUGCUUUGGAGAGCGCUGUCUUUGUGCUGAAGAUUUUGAUAUUUACACAGCCUUCUGGAGAGCAAGAGAGAUCAGAGCACCAAAAAAUCCAAACUGUUGCAAGUUCCAACUACGGUUGCUUGGAAGAAUCAUCAAAAAGGUGGACAGGGCUAAACUCAAACAUUACCUGUUCUGCUACUGACAUCUGAAGCCCUGUGUGUGGGCAGAGGGAGCAAAGAGGUGAUUGCUGACGAACAGCUCCUCGCAGCUGGUGGUGGGACAGUUGCAAAGGGUACUUUCCUUGGUUUACAUCACUGCUUGUUUUUCCUGUACAGAGCUACAGAGAAGCUUGAAGCAAUUUGCAGAAUUGGUCUUUUAAUAUUUCACCCUCUGAAUGUGUGGGAGGUACAGUGGUUUCUUAAUAUUUUUGUUCCUCUGUGUCUUUUAAUCUCAAAAGUUUACGGACCAACUGACAAAUGUGCAGCAUCAUGGACUGCAGCCUCUAAAAUAAACAUACAUUAAUUUAUGCUAUGUGGGCCUGUACCCAUCAAACUAAAGAGCUAGGGCCAUGCCCUUGUCUUUAAUUUGCAGACUCUUGUCUUUUGUUUUCCCAAGGAUCCAUGAAUCUAGAAACUGUGUGACAGCAUACUAUAUUCUGUCCCGGCCAAAUUCCACUUAGGGCACUGAUUUUCUGCUCAUGAAAAUUCCUCUGUGGUGAGCAGCCUUUGUGAAUAAAAGCAAAUGUCAUUUCAUGGAGAAAUGAGUGUAUCUGCUCUUUCAAAACUUACAGUCUAUGGAUAUUUCUGUUAGGAGGAGGAACAGAAAAGAAACCCUAUAUGCCAGCUGCCAGCUGUGCAUGUGAUGGCAUCCUUGGAGGCACUCAAAUGAUGUUUCAAUGGGAAAACUGAGAACAGAACACAAGCAGUCAUUGAAUGGCAGUUAUUAUUAAGGAAUAGACUUUGGUUUUGUCAAAACAUCUUGAAUUACCAUUUGUGAAAAAUAAACAUUUAAAUGUUGGGGCUGUAAUACCAUUUUCCUUGCAGUGGUUACUGUUUCUCCAGCCAGAGAUGCGGAGCCAGUGAAAAUAAUUCAGCAAAGAGUGGAUUUGGGCUUUAUAAUCUCAGAAUCUCUGAUCCGAGAAUCUUAGGCAGCCCAAAAAUAUUAUGCUUGGAUUUGUGAAUUUUGAAAAAUUCUGGAGUAGGAGUACGAAAGCAUAAAAUUGAAACUACGGUUUGUGACCAGCUGAAAAGCACUCAAAAUAUCUUGUAUUGCAAAUUUUCGUCUCAUACAAACUAUUUCACCUCAAGGACAUCUUCUCUUUUGAAUUAUGCUAAUGAGAUGGUGCAUUUGUUUUGCUUUCUUCUUAAUGCAGGACCUGGAGCUUUGUUGUAAGGGUCCAACUUCUCAGUUUCUGCGUAGUCCAGACAGAAAUACUGCCUGUCUUUUAUGUGCCAUACACAUCCUAGUGUAGUUCAGACGACACGACAACUCUAAAUCUCUGUGUUGCUCAAGGGUUAAAUCUUGUCAGUAAGAGAGUUGCAGAAGACCUGGUAAAAGCCAGUGUAAUCUCAGUUAGAACUUCAUUCACUAGAAAUUAAAUCCUUUCCUAGCAGAGUCCACACAAGGCUGAAGCUGCAGAAAAUCAUAAAGGUGGAAUUUGUCUCUAAUGAACACAAAGUACUAAUUUACUUGUUUUCAUCCUGCCUGUCUGGCAGAGGAGACUCUGCUGUAUGGGACUACGGUUGAAAUGGCAUCACCAUUCCCUGUCACCCACACAAGUCUAGCAAUUCUCAAUAAUCAUGCUUCCCAGGCACUUGGUGAGUCACUGCUGAUCUGUUUUCUGCAAAGUAGACCUCUGUUUGGUUCCCAUGGUGAUCAGAAGUGACAAUUAUUGCAGGCUGCUACUACAGUUUCUCAGUUGUGUGUGCCCACUAAAAGAAGCUCUUACCUGGCUAUAGUCCCUGGGUGUUUUGCAGUACAUCAUCGUUGCUUCCUAUUGACAGCAAUUUAAACACUUCAGGUGAAUUGGCUUUGUGGAGAACAGGCUGAAGGAGGGGGAUUUGGGGAGUAUUUUUGUUUUGCAAUGUAUUUAGAACAAGAUGAAGAAAAUAACUCUGUCAACUUUCCAUAGAAUGAUGGUGUUCCAGUAUUGCAGAAAAUCUUUUGAGGCUGGGCUAAAUGAUUCAGCCCUUGUUUUAAAGACCACCAAGCACAGAACUCAGGUUUAUCAUAAUAGGAGCUAUUUUUCCUGAUCUGACAAUUUUUGCUGUAACUCCAGCCUUUUCAAUCACUGAAGUAUUUCCCAGACAGGAGAAAUCUGUCACUUCUAUUGUGGGACCU
Molecule: RNA transcript, 2673 nt
Organism: Poecile atricapillus (Black-capped chickadee)
Lineage: Eukaryota; Metazoa; Chordata; Aves; Passeriformes; Paridae
Gene name: overexpressed in colon carcinoma 1 protein homolog
Exons: 7
Source: RefSeq, a predicted model, not a curated record